Molecule: ribosomal RNA, 253 nt
Filed under: uncultured microorganism
Description: partial small subunit ribosomal RNA
Rfam family: Bacterial small subunit ribosomal RNA
Source: RNAcentral
UACGUAGGUGGCAAGCGUUGUCCGGAAUCAUUGGGCGUAAAGGGCGUGUAGGUGGGUUUUUAAGUCGUGUGUCUAAGUGCGGGGCUCAACCCCGUAUGGGCGCAGGAAACUGGAGAUCUUGAGUGCAGGAGAGGAAAGUGGAAUUCCCAGUGUAGCGGUGAAAUGCGUAGAUAUUGGGAGGAACACCAGUGGCGAAGGCGACUUUCUGGACUGUGUCUGACACUGAGGCGCGAAAGCCAGGGGAGCGAACGGG